RNA transcript from Brachypodium distachyon (stiff brome), 885 nucleotides. RefSeq lists it as uncharacterized. The transcript is spliced from 2 exons. The record is from RefSeq and is a predicted model, not a curated record. NCBI's taxonomy places the organism in Eukaryota, Viridiplantae, Streptophyta, Magnoliopsida, Poales, Poaceae.
AUGGCGGGCAACAACGUGGUGUGGCAACCCCAAGUUGUCGAAGAAAUGCUACGCUAUUACAAAGAGAAAUUUCAGUCUGAGGGGAAACAAUUUAUUUUCAAAGAGUUGCAUCACGAGGAGUGUGCAAAACAAAUCAACGCAAAGUUUGGCACUGUUUUCACACAGAGGCAAGUUUAUCACAAGUUCCACAAACUGAAAGCCCAGUGGAAGGUUAUUUUAGAGGCGAAGAACUUAAGUGGUGCCAAUUUUGAUGAUGUCAACAAGAUAAUUUUAUAUGAAGAGACGGAGGUUGUUCGGAUGAAGAAUAACAAAGACAAAAGGGCAAAGUAUAUCAAUGUGCCCAUUGCUUCAUUUGAUGAUAUGGAGUACGUAUUUCAAGAUAAGCAUGCUACGGGAGAGUUCUCAAUCCUGCAAACUCCCUAUGACCAUGUUUCUUCUCGUGACAAGGAUUUUGUUGGCGACAAGAAUGUGAGUAAUGCCGAUGUUGAUCCUGCAACGCAAUAUGAUUCGGAUUGUCUUCCCGAAGACACCAACAGUGAAAGCUCUUCUUCAAAGCACCCUAGAGGUGGUAGCCGUGACAAAGGUAAGAGGGUCAAGUGUGAUGACAACGUAAUUACAGACAUGACACAUUCUCUACGUGAUAUGUCUGAAACCAUGCGUUUCACACACGUGACUAAUCCAAAUGACAACUUAUACAAAAUAAUAGAUGACAUGGAAGAAUACCCUCUCUACAUUCUACUUGCAUUAUAGACAUCUCUGGCCACGAAUGAACAAGUGGCUUCCAUGUUGAAGGGGCGUCCAAUGCAUUCUAUCAAAGAGUGGGUGCGGCGAUGGUCGUGGAUAACUAUCCUUCUUACGUGCGUACUAAGAUGUGAUUCAUUUUAG